CCCUUAGAUGUUCUGGGCCGCACGCGCGCUACAAUGAUGAAUUCAACGAGUUUAUAACCUUGGUUGAAAAGCCUGGGUAAUCUUUUGAACUUUCGUCGUGAUGGGGCUAGACCCUUGCAAUUAUUGGUCUCCAACGAGGAAUUCCUAGUAAACGCAAGUCAUCAGCUUGCAUUGAUUACGUCCCUGCCCUUUGUACACACCUCCCGUCGCACCUACCGAUUGAAUGGUCCGGUGAAAUCUUCGGAUUGAGACUUUGAUUUCUUCACGGAAAACGCUGUUUUAAAAAGUUGAUUAAACCUUACCAUUUAGAGGAAGGUGAAGUCGUAACA
Molecule: ribosomal RNA, 329 nt
Filed under: uncultured eukaryote
Lineage: Eukaryota
Description: partial 18S ribosomal RNA
Rfam family: Eukaryotic small subunit ribosomal RNA
Source: RNAcentral